AUGCGAAACCGCAUCCGGGGCGGCGUGUGCCCCGGGUGCCGGUCGGCCGGGCGUGGUGGCCCGGUCCUGAUGAUGCAGCCGGAG
This 84-nucleotide non-coding RNA is filed under the name Rhodobacterales bacterium 65-51. Lineage: Bacteria; Pseudomonadati; Pseudomonadota; Alphaproteobacteria; Rhodobacterales. The record is from RNAcentral.